AAGUGGUCCCCUGCGGUGGUCCUGGACAGGGCUGCACAGAGCAGAAGGCCUGAGGGCCCGGGGAGAGAUAGAGAAAGAGACUGUCAGGGAGAGGGACACUGAGUGGGUGGUGGGGGGAUUGGGCAAGUCCUGGAAAGUGAGAAGAACCAAGAGAGGGAGAGGGGGUAAAGAAAAGCAGAGACAAAAAGGAGUUGGAAGGAUGAAAAGCAGUUGCUGGUCUAGGUGUGUGGAGGUGGACCAUGGGCCAGGGGAAGGAGGUCUAGGUAGGUGCUCUGAGCGUUGGGACCUGAGAAGGCGGGAAUCCAGGGCAUCAGAUUUCCCUGAGCCCAAAGCUCCAACCUCUCUGGGGCAGAGCUGUGCAGAGGCCGUUUCACAGAAGGAUGAUGGGCACCCCUCCUUUUGCAUGGGGUUGUGGGGCCGAGCCUCAGGAUCUGUCAUUGAGAGAGAUGGCUUGGGUGGACCAGAGCACCCUCAGUCCCUCCGUCUGAGGGGCCAUGACUUUGAGCAUUGCAGGGAAUCCCGGGGAGGCCAGCAGAGGGCGCGCCCGCACCUCCAACAGGAAGGGGGGCGGUUUCUCUGCGUGCGCAGCCACGGCCAGCAGAGGGCGCGCCAUGACCUUUUCUGACACAGGGCGCCUCAGAGCAGGAAGGGCUCCGGAAGCCUCCCAAGGAUCCAGCCCCUCCCUGGCUGCCUGGGAUAGAGCGCCAAAGCUGCGGAUUCAGUAGGUUUUGCCGCCACCCUGGGAAGACCCUGGGGCCUUUGCAGCGACUUGUCGCCUCCUGAGGUACCACGGAGAAGCUGCCUUGUUGGCUGAGUGCUGAGGGGGCAGCUCUGGGAGGCUUCCCAGGACAUGCUGAUGCAGGCUUGUUUCUGGGGAGAAAUCAUGAGCCAAAUUCAGAGGAACUGGAGCUGCAUUCAUUUGGGACAGGAAUACAUGAACUACUGACUCUCAGGACCUUCUAGAAGAACGAGCUGCGGUCCACUUCCCGAGCUCUGCAGGAACUGCUGCCCAAGGAUCCCACUGUGUUUAAAGAAAGUCUCCAGACCACUUCUCAAUGUGAGUAACAUGGUACUAAACAAAAUUUGUGAAUCACUGUUUGGAGAAAAAGCACGAUGGUAUUCUUUAAUCUGCUAAAAUUGAUGCUUCCAUCCACUGAUCUUGCGUUUCCAACUUUUUUAUUUUCCCUUUUUAUUUUCUAAUUAAGAUAUUUAUAUAUCUUCCUGAGUUUUACAUUCCUCACACGCACUUUCAGGUUUCCUUUCUGUCACCGUAAGAAAGAGGACAGGCCUUUUGAUGAGCAUGCAGCUUUGUGUCACUUCAGUUGUUGUUGUUGUAGAUCUUCAUUAACUUUUCCCACCCAGUUGAAAAUAUUAUCCAGUUUUGACAAGUUACAUAAAAAAAUGUAACCUAUGUGCAUCAGUAUGAUUUCAUUAUAAUGUUUCUUCAUUUGAUAUUUUAUGUAUAUGUCUGAAACAUGAGACUAUCUCACAAGUUUAUUGAAUUUGGUAGAAGUAUAUAUCCUAGUUUUGAAAUUUUUGAGGCUUGCAUAUUUGAAUUCAUAAAUGGAGAUUAUUAGCACUUAAAUUAGGGUUAUUUGCUGCAUAAGACACAAGUGGGUGUAAUCAUUUUGGGGGAAGGAAGGAUGUCUUCUCUUUUACACACAUGGCAUCGUUGCACCACAGUCAUACAUCUGGAUAUGAGCAAUUAUUUUUUUCUUUUUAGACUUUUAUUUAAAUUCUAGUUAGUUGGAUGCCUGGGUGGCUCAGUCGGUUAAGCAUCUGCGCUCAGCCCAGGUCUUUAUCCCAGGGUCCUGGG
Ailuropoda melanoleuca (giant panda) is the source of this 1816-nucleotide long non-coding RNA. RefSeq lists it as uncharacterized. The transcript has 3 exons. The record is from RefSeq and is a predicted model, not a curated record. Lineage: Eukaryota; Metazoa; Chordata; Mammalia; Carnivora; Ursidae.